CUUUUACAAUGAAGAGUUUGAUCCUGGCUCAGGAUGAACGCUAGCUACAGGCUUAACACAUGCAAGUCGAGGGGCAGCAUUUUAGUUUGCUUGCAAACUGAAGAUGGCGACCGGCGCACGGGUGAGUAACACGUAUCCAACCUGCCGAUAACUCCGGGAUAGCCUUUCGAAAGAAAGAUUAAUACCGGAUGGCAUACGAAUAUCGCAUGAUAUUUUUAUUAAAGAAUUUCGGUUAUCGAUGGGGAUGCGUUCCAUUAGUUUGUUGGCGGGGUAACGGCCCACCAAGACUACGAUGGAUAGGGGUUCUGAGAGGAAGGUCCCCCACAUUGGAACUGAGACACGGUCCAAACUCCUACGGGAGGCAGCAGUGAGGAAUAUUGGUCAAUGGGCGAGAGCCUGAACCAGCCAAGUAGCGUGAAGGAUGAAGGCUCUAUGGGUCGUAAACUUCUUUUAUAUGGGAAUAAAGUUUUCCACGUGUGGAAUUUUGUAUGUACCAUAUGAAUAAGGAUCGGCUAACUCCGUGCCAGCAGCCGCGGUAAUACGGAGGAUCCGAGCGUUAUCCGGAUUUAUUGGGUUUAAAGGGAGCGUAGGUGGAUUGUUAAGUCAGUUGUGAAAGUUUGCGGCUCAACCGUAAAAUUGCAGUUGAAACUGGCAGUCUUGAGUACAGUAGAGGUGGGCGGAAUUCGUGGUGUAGCGGUGAAAUGCUUAGAUAUCACGAAGAACUCCGAUUGCGAAGGCAGCUCACUAGACUGUUACUGACACUGAUGCUCGAAAGUGUGGGUAUCAAACAGGAUUAGAUACCCUGGUAGUCCACACAGUAAACGAUGAAUACUCGCUGUUUGCGAUAUACAGUAAGCGGCCAAGCGAAAGCAUUAAGUAUUCCACCUGGGGAGUACGCCGGCAACGGUGAAACUCAAAGGAAUUGACGGGGGCCCGCACAAGCGGAGGAACAUGUGGUUUAAUUCGAUGAUACGCGAGGAACCU
Molecule: ribosomal RNA, 984 nt
Filed under: Alistipes onderdonkii
Lineage: Bacteria; Pseudomonadati; Bacteroidota; Bacteroidia; Bacteroidales; Rikenellaceae
Description: bacterial SSU rRNA
Rfam family: Bacterial small subunit ribosomal RNA
Source: RNAcentral